This 1324-nucleotide ribosomal RNA is filed under the name metagenome. RNAcentral's name for it is "bacterial LSU rRNA". It matches the Rfam family "Bacterial large subunit ribosomal RNA", at positions 1561 to 2925 of the family's 2925-position model. The record is from RNAcentral.
AGUGGAUGGGGAGCAACCUAGUUGUGCGUGUGUAAAGGUAGUGCCAAGAAAAGCGAUGAUCAUGUUGAAAAUCAAUUCCCGGUACCCGAAACCGACACAGGUGGGCAAGUAGAGAAUACUAAGGGGUGCGAGGUAACUCUCUCCAAGGAACUCGGCAAAAUGACCCCGUAACUUAGGGAGAAGGGGUGCCACCGAGAGGUGGUCGCAGUGAAGAGGCCCAGGCGACUGUUUAGCAAAAACAUAGGUCUCUGCAAACUCGAAAGAGGAGGUAUAGGGGCUGACGCCUGCCCAGUGCCGGAAGGUUAAAGAAGUUGGUCAGUCUUAGGAUGAAGCUAGCGACUGAAGCCCCGGUGAACGGCGGCCGUAACUAUAACGGUCCUAAGGUAGCGAAAUUCCUUGUCGGGUAAGUUCCGACCCGCACGAAAGGCGUAACGAUCUGGGCGCUGUCUCGGAGAGAGGCUCGGCGAAAUAGGAUUGUCCGUGAAGAUACGGACUACCUGCAUUUGGACAGAAAGACCCUAUGAAGCUUUACUAUAGCCUGGAAUUGUGUUCGGGCUUCCUGAGCGCAGGAUAGGUGGGAGGCGUAGAAGGUAUUCUUGUGGGGAUACUGGAGCCAACGGUGAGAUACCACUCUCAGGAGGCUAGAAUUCUAACUUAAUUAAGGACAGUUUCAGGUGGGUAGUUUGACUGGGGCGGUCGCCUCCAAAAAGGUAACGGAGGCGUACAAAGGUUCCCUCAGACUGGUUGGAAAUCAGUCGAAGAGUGCAAAGGCAGAAGGGAGCUUGACUGCGAGAAGUACAGUUCGAGCAGGGUGGAAACACGGUCUUAGUGAUCCGACGGUGCUGUGUGGAAGGGCCGUCGCUCAACGGAUAAAAGUUACUCUAGGAUAACAGGCUGAUCUCCCCCAAGAGUUCACAUCGACGGGGAGGUUUGGCACCUCGAUGUCGGCUCAUCGCAACCUGGGGCGGAAGUACGUCCCAAGGGUUGGGCUGUUCGCCCAUUAAAGCGGUACGUGAGCUGGGUUCAGAACGUCGUGAGACAGUUCGGUCCAUAUCCGAUGUAGGCGUGAGAAUAUUGAGAGGAGCCUUCCUUAGUACGAGAGGACCGGGAAGGACGCACCGCUGGUGUACCUGUUAUGAUGCCAAUUGUAAACGCAGGGUAGCCAAGUGCGGAGAGGAUAACCGCCGAAAGCAUCUAAGUGGGAAGCCCACCUCAAGAUGAGUAUUCUGGUGUAAGGUCACGGGAAGACGACCCGUAAAUAGGCACGAGGUGGAAGUGCAGAGAUGUAUGAAGCCGAAGUGUACUAAUAGACCGUCGGCUUGAC